UACGGGGGGUGCGAGCGUUGUCCGGAAUCACUGGGCGUAAAGGGCGCGUAGGUGGUUUGAUAAGGGUGUGGUGAAAGUCCGGGGCUCAACCCCGGAUCUGCCGUGCCGACUGUCAAACUCGAGGGCUGUAGAGGCAGACGGAAUUCCUGGUGUAGCGGUGGAAUGCGCAGAUAUCAGGAGGAACACCGGUGGCGAAGGCGGGUCUCUGGGCAGUAACUGACGCUGAGGAGCGAAAGCGUGGGGAGCGAACAGG
Molecule: ribosomal RNA, 253 nt
Filed under: uncultured bacterium
Lineage: Bacteria
Description: partial 16S ribosomal RNA
Rfam family: Bacterial small subunit ribosomal RNA
Source: RNAcentral